UGGGAGAGUUGAGGCCUGUUCUUGCAAU
Molecule: non-coding RNA, 28 nt
Filed under: Mus musculus (house mouse)
Lineage: Eukaryota; Metazoa; Chordata; Mammalia; Rodentia; Muridae
Source: RNAcentral